CCUACGGGAGGCAGCAGUGAGGAAUAUUGGUCAAUGGGCGCGAGCCUGAACCAGCCAAGUCGCGUGAGGGAAGACGGCCCUACGGGUUGUAAACCUCUUUUGCCGGGGAGCAACGGGCGCCACGUGUGGAGCCACUGAGAGUACCCGGAGAAAAAGCAUCGGCUAACCCAGUGCCAGCAGGCGCGGUAAUACGGAGGAUGGGAGCGUUAUCCGGUUUUAUUGGGUUUAAAGGGUGCUUAGGCGGAGCGUUAAGUCAGUGGUCAAAUGGAGGGGCUCAACCCCUUCCAGCCAUUGAAACUGGCGCUCUUGAGUGGAAGAGAAGUAGGCUGAAUGCGUGGUGUAGCGGUGAAAUGCAUAGAUAUCACGCAGAACCCCGAUUGCGAAGGCAGCAUGCCGGCUUCCGACUGACGCUGAAGCACGAAAGCGUGGGGAUCGAACAGGAUUAGAUACCCGAGUAGUC
This 460-nucleotide ribosomal RNA is filed under the name uncultured bacterium. RNAcentral describes it as "partial 16S ribosomal RNA". It matches the Rfam family "Bacterial small subunit ribosomal RNA", at positions 338 to 795 of the family's 1533-position model. The record is from RNAcentral.